Molecule: ribosomal RNA, 1372 nt
Filed under: uncultured bacterium
Lineage: Bacteria
Description: bacterial SSU rRNA
Rfam family: Bacterial small subunit ribosomal RNA
Source: RNAcentral
GAUGAACGCUGGCGGCGUGCCAAAUACAUGCAAGUCGAGCGAACGGACGAGAAGCUUGCUUCUCUGAUGUUAGCGGCGGACGGGUGAGUAACACGUGGAUAACCUACCUAUAAGACUGGGAUAACUUCGGGAAACCGGAGCUAAUACCGGAUAAUAUUUUGAACCGCAUGGUUCAAAAGUGAAAGACGGUCUUGCUGUCACUUAUAGAUGGAUCCGCGCUGCAUUAGCUAGUUGGUAAGGUAACGGCUUACCAAGGCAACGAUGCAUAGCCGACCUGAGAGGGUGAUCGGCCACACUGGAACUGAGACACGGUCCAGACUCCUACGGGAGGCAGCAGUAGGGAAUCUUCCGCAAUGGGCGAAAGCCUGACGGAGCAACGCCGCGUGAGUGAUGAAGGUCUUCGGAUCGUAAAACUCUGUUAUUAGGGAAGAACAUAUGUGUAAGUAACUGUGCACAUCUUGACGGUACCUAAUCAGAAAGCCACGGCUAACUACGUGCCAGCAGCCGCGGUAAUACGUAGGUGGCAAGCGUUAUCCGGAAUUAUUGGGCGUAAAGCGCGCGUAGGCGGUUUUUUAAGUCUGAUGUGAAAGCCCACGGCUCAACCGUGGAGGGUCAUUGGAAACUGGAAAACUUGAGUGCAGAAGAGGAAAGUGGAAUUCCAUGUGUAGCGGUGAAAUGCGCAGAGAUAUGGAGGAACACCAGUGGCGAAGGCGACUUUCUGGUCUGUAACUGACGCUGAUGUGCGAAAGCGUGGGGAUCAAACAGGAUUAGAUACCCUGGUAGUCCACGCCGUAAACGAUGAGUGCUAAGUGUUAGGGGGUUUCCGCCCCUUAGUGCUGCAGCUAACGCAUUAAGCACUCCGCCUGGGGAGUACGACCGCAAGGUUGAAACUCAAAGGAAUUGACGGGGACCCGCACAAGCGGUGGAGCAUGUGGUUUAAUUCGAAGCAACGCGAAGAACCUUACCAAAUCUUGACAUCCUUUGACAACUCUAGAGAUAGAGCUUUCCCCUUCGGGGGACAAAGUGACAGGUGGUGCAUGGUUGUCGUCAGCUCGUGUCGUGAGAUGUUGGGUUAAGUCCCGCAACGAGCGCAACCCUUAAGCUUAGUUGCCAUCAUUAAGUUGGGCACUCUAAGUUGACUGCCGGUGACAAACCGGAGGAAGGUGGGGAUGACGUCAAAUCAUCAUGCCCCUUAUGAUUUGGGCUACACACGUGCUACAAUGGACAAUACAAAGGGCAGCGAAACCGCGAGGUCAAGCAAAUCCCAUAAAGUUGUUCUCAGUUCGGAUUGUAGUCUGCAACUCGACUACAUGAAGCUGGAAUCGCUAGUAAUCGUAGAUCAGCAUGCUACGGUGAAUACGUUCCCGGGUCU